Molecule: non-coding RNA, 114 nt
Organism: Acanthosepion pharaonis
Lineage: Eukaryota; Metazoa; Mollusca; Cephalopoda; Sepiida; Sepiidae
Source: the annotation of a GenBank genome assembly
GGCAAUAUCACAUUGAAACACCGUUUUUUUUUAAUAUGAUCACCAAAGUUAAGCAACAUCGAGCCUGGUCAGUACCUAGAUUGGUGAUCACUUGGGAAGACCAGCUGCUGUAAG